CCUACGGGAGGCAGCAGUAGGGAAUAUUGCUCAAUGGGGGAAACCCUGAAGCAGCAAAGCCGCGUGGCGGAUGAAGGUUUUCGGAUUGUACACUCCUUUUGUUAGAGAAGAUAAUAACGGUAUCUCACGAAUAAGCACCGGCUAAUUCCGGGCCAGCAGCCGAGGUAAUACGGAGGGUGCAAGCGUUACUCGGAGUCACUGGGCGUAAAGAGCGAGUAGGCGGGAUAGCAAGGCAGAUGUGAAAUACUAUGGCGUAACCAUAGAACUGCAUUUGAAACUGUUAUUCUAGAGUAUGGGAGAGGUAGGUGGAAUUCUUGGUGUAGGGGUAAAAUCCGUAGAGAUCAAGAGGAAUACUCAUUGCGAAGGCGACCUGCUAGAACAUAACUGACGCUGAUGCGCGAAAGCGUGGGGAGCAAACAGGAUUAGAUACCCUUGUAGUC
RNAcentral lists this ribosomal RNA (440 nucleotides) under uncultured bacterium. RNAcentral describes it as "partial 16S ribosomal RNA". It matches the Rfam family "Bacterial small subunit ribosomal RNA", at positions 338 to 795 of the family's 1533-position model. The record is from RNAcentral.